GAGAUUUUCGCAAUGCCCGAAAGGGUGACGAAGCGACGCCGCGUGAGCGAUGAAGGCCUUCGGGUUGUAAAGCUCUGUCACACGGGACGAAUGCCUUGACGGUGAAUAACCGGCAAGGAGGGACGGUACCGUGAGAGGAAGCUCCGGCUAACUCCGUGCCAGCAGCCGCGGUAAGACGGGGGGAGCGAGCGUUGUUCGGAUUCAUUGGGCGUAAAGGGCAAGUAGGCGGCUCGUUAAGUCAGGUGUGAAAUCCCUCCGUUCAACGGAGGAAUGGCAUCCGAUACUGUCGGGCUUGAGGAGUGGAGAAGCGAGCGGAAUUCUCGGUGUAGCGGUGGAAUGCGUAGAUAUCGGGAAGAACACCAGUGGCGAAGGCGGCCCUCUGGUCUGUGACUGACGCUGAGGUGCGAAAGCCAGGGAGCAAACAGGAUUAGAUACCCUGGUAGUCCUGGCCGUAAACGAUGGGCACUAAGUAGAGGGGUUUUA
RNAcentral lists this ribosomal RNA (483 nucleotides) under uncultured bacterium. RNAcentral's name for it is "bacterial SSU rRNA". It matches the Rfam family "Bacterial small subunit ribosomal RNA", at positions 359 to 833 of the family's 1533-position model. The record is from RNAcentral.